UAGGGAAUCUUCCGCAAUGGGCGAAAGCCUGACGGAGCAACGCCGCGUGAGUGAUGAAGGUCUUCGGAUCGUAAAACUCUGUUAUUAGGGAAGAACAAAUGUGUAAGUAACUAUGCACGUCUUGACGGUACCUAAUCAGAAAGCCACGGCUAACUACGUGCCAGCAGCCGCGGUAAUACGUAGGUGGCAAGCGUUAUCCGGAAUUAUUGGGCGUAACGCGCGCGUAGGCGGUUUUUUAAGUCUGAUGUGAAAGCCCACGGCUCAACCGUGGAGGGUCAUUGGAAACUGGAAAACUUGAGUGCAGAAGAGGAAAGUGGAAUUCCAUGUGUAGCGGUGAAAUGCGCAGAGAUAUGGAGGAACACCAGUGGCGAAGGCGACGUUCUGGUCUGUAACUGACGCUGAUGUGCGAAAGCGUGGGGAUCAAACAGG
This 429-nucleotide ribosomal RNA is filed under the name Actinomycetes bacterium. RNAcentral describes it as "Actinobacteria bacterium partial 16S ribosomal RNA". It matches the Rfam family "Bacterial small subunit ribosomal RNA", at positions 355 to 776 of the family's 1533-position model. Lineage: Bacteria; Bacillati; Actinomycetota; Actinomycetes. The record is from RNAcentral.